UGCUGAGGUUGGCAGAGUCCUCUGAGUUCCUCUAACUUAAUCCCUGCCCAAGCAGGGACACCCAGAGCAGGGUGCCCAGGACAAAGUUCAGGCAGUUUUUGAAGUUCUUCAAGAAGGAGAUUCCACAGCCUCUCUGGGUAAUCUGUGCCAGUGCUCUAUCACCUGCAUAGACAGGGCCGGAUGUGGAGAAGGAAUCUUACAGUUCAUAAACAAGAUCAUAAAAGAACAACUUGCUUUGUUACCACUUCUACUGAGGCUGUGAAACACGAGUUACUGAAAAUACUACACUGCAGCUUGUGUCCAUGAGGCUCAGGAGAAUGAGAUGCUGUGCUGCAAACAACUCAGAAGCAGGAAAGGAGAAGAAGGAGGGGAGAAAAUGAGCUGCCUCAGUAAUAUACCUCCUCUGACAAAGCUGAAAGUGCCUGGCUAUUUCUCAGCAAAUGAAAAAAAGUCUAAAGGAAUGAGGUCAUAAGAAUGGCUGAAUCAAAUGACCAUGAGACAGCUGUGUCCAAAUUUCUAUGUGGUAUUUAUAUAGUGAAUACAAAUGAGAAAUCUGAUUUGAAGGUGUGGAGAGCUCUGCUCCACUUAUGCAUGAAAGUCUCUUAUGAAAGUGUAUGCAAAAUUCAGAUGUGUGCCACUGGUUUUGGAGCUACAGAACAUGCAAUUUCCACCCCCGUGAUAAAUAUUCAUACCACUUAAUUGCACACAGAUAAUGACAUCUCCAAGUAUUGCUGCAGCAUCAUGUCUGCUUUCCUUUCUUAGUUGUUUCCUCAGAGGAUCAGUUCUGCUCUGCUUAGGACCAAAACCUGAGAGCAUUCCCACGGGGUUGUGCUGACAACACAGACAGUGGGGUAGUCACAAGUCUCUGGAAUAAGCUUUUCAUUAAGGUUCUUUAUCCUACAAAACAACCAAAAAGCAGUUGAGGUAGUACAGAGUUCACAGAGGCUAGUUUAUCAGGCUCCUAAGCAGACUAGCCAUGCAUCUAUAGCCUGUUUGUAUGACUCUCUCCACAAGUGCAGACAUAGCUUGCAAGGUCACAGAGAAUUCAGAAGUACAGGAACAGCAAAAGAGUAUGAAAAUUACAAAUAUAUUGUCAUGCUUAACAGGUUACAGUUGCUUUCAAACAGAAGGUAUCUCAAAGUUACCCACACCUUUUGCAAAUAAGCUCUUAAGGUGAAGUUUCAUUCAUUUCCAGUGAGGCUAGGGAGAGUAGACCAGUGUAACACUAGUGUGUGCAGGAGGGUCUUUCUAGGGCCUCACAGAUUUUAUCUAUAUUGGCAAGUAAUUCUGUGCAAUAGGAAGAGAUCAAUAAAUCAAAGCUUCCCCUUGUUCCUAGUUUAAUACAUUGCAAACCAAAUCCAAGUACAAGAAAGGAGCAACCAGGAGAUCUGUGCAGCAAUACAUUGCUGUUCCAAGCCAAGCUGUUGAUAUCAGCAUGGCCACACUUACUCUUACAGAGGACCUUAGAAAAUUAGAUCUUCAAAGUUUUACCUUAAAGGAGAUGAUAUGGAAAAGUCAUUCUUACCACUGACAAACCUAAACAUAAAACUCUGCUUUUCCACACAUCUUUCCCUUGCAGGUUUCAGUUCUGUCAGAGCACACAGCAUGUCAGACAAUUUUUGUUGUUGUUGUUGUUAAUCAUAUAAUACAGUCAGCUUUGUGGCAGGUAAAUGAAAUUUAGGCAUCUUUCUAUCUCCCUGUCAGUAUUUGGCCAUAAGAUUCUGCAUUAAAUUGUUCUUUGCUCCAAAGCUCGCCCAGAGCAACAGCACUCCAAGACUUCACUCAGCUCUUUGUUUUACAGCAGUUACAAUCAAACUGUUGUUCUUCGUGCUUUAAUGGAGAUCCUAGAAAAGGAGAUUUGAAAAAGAGGGUUAAGAACAGGUUUAUAAAACUUAAGUAUGUACCUAAUCUGUCUGGGAAAAUUCAUAAUUCACUUUGCACAUUUUUGAAGCUGUCUCCAGCCUUAAUAUCACAACAUCAUGCAAAGUCUGGAAGUAUGUGAUUAAUAGAUUUACCUAAUUAAAAACAAGCAAACAAAACAACAAACAAAAGUAAGUUUAUGUCUAAAACUGUCUGUUGGUGUGCCAAAUAUAUGCACAAAUAUAUACUGUAUUUUGUGUGUAUUUGUACAUUUAUAUGAAAACACACAUACAUAUAUAGAACUAUGUGUACAAUAAUUAAUAAAGCAAUGUUUCUUA
This 2198-nucleotide long non-coding RNA is filed under the name Gallus gallus (chicken). RNAcentral's name for it is "lncRNA (ENSGALG00010006466.1)". Lineage: Eukaryota; Metazoa; Chordata; Aves; Galliformes; Phasianidae. The record is from RNAcentral.